UACGUAGGGGGCUAGCGUUGUCCGGAUUUAUUGGGCGUAAAGAGCGUGUAGGCGGCCAGGUAGGUCUGCUGUGAAAACUCGAGGCUCAACCUCGAGACGUCGGCGGAAACCAUCUGGCUAGAGUCCGGAAGAGGAGAGUGGAAUUCCUGGUGUAGCGGUGAAAUGCGCAGAUAUCAGGAAGAACACCCGUGGCGAAGGCGGCUCUCUGGGACGGUACCGACGCUGAGACGCGAAAGCGUGGGGAGCGAACAGG
This 253-nucleotide ribosomal RNA is filed under the name uncultured bacterium. RNAcentral describes it as "partial 16S ribosomal RNA". It matches the Rfam family "Bacterial small subunit ribosomal RNA", at positions 524 to 776 of the family's 1533-position model. The record is from RNAcentral.